UUUGUACUCCCUCCGUCCAAAAAUACUUGUCAAAAAAAAUGAAUGUAUCUAGACAUAUUUUAAUUCUAGGUACAUUCAUUUUUAUCUAUUUUCUGACGAGUAUUUCCGGACGGAGGGAGUACUCC
Non-coding RNA from Triticum aestivum (bread wheat), 125 nucleotides. The record is from Rfam. Lineage: Eukaryota; Viridiplantae; Streptophyta; Magnoliopsida; Poales; Poaceae.